GAUGAACGCUGGCGGCGUGCUUAACACAUGCAAGUCGAACGAAGCACUGUAUUUGAUUUCCUUCGGGACUGAUUAUUUUGUGACUGAGUGGCGGACGGGUGAGUAACGCGUGGGUAACCUGCCUUGUACAGGGGGAUAACAGAUGGAAACGGCUGCUAAUACCGCAUAAGCGCACAGCAUCGCAUGAUGCAGUGUGAAAAACUCUGGUGGUAUAAGAUGGACGCUCGUUGGAUUAGCUAGUUGGUGAGGUAACGGGCCACGAAGGAGACGAUCCAUAGACGAGCUGUGAGGGUGACCGGCCACAUUGGGGCUGGGACACAGCCGGAACUCCUACGGGAGGCAGCAGUGGGGGAUAGUGCAACAUGGGCGAAGGCAUGAUGCAGCGACGCCGGGUGAGCGCAGAAGUAUUUCAGUAUGUAAAGCUCUAGCAGCAGUGCAGAUCAUGACGGUACCUGACCAAGAAGCACCGGCUAAAUACGUG
RNAcentral lists this ribosomal RNA (481 nucleotides) under uncultured bacterium. RNAcentral describes it as "partial 16S ribosomal RNA". It matches the Rfam family "Bacterial small subunit ribosomal RNA", at positions 28 to 507 of the family's 1533-position model. The record is from RNAcentral.